AUGGUGAGGAAAAAAUUCAUCGUUGGUUAAAUUAGGGUUUUUUAAAAACAAAAAAAGGGAGUUAAUCUGUAGGCUCAUCUAUUCACCUCCGACAUAACCAAAUUGAAGAAGCUCAACAAGGUUGGACGAUCUGAACAAGAAUCCAGAGAUAUUGAAGAACGGGGAGCGACUUCUUGAGUCUGAUCGAAUAACUCCAUCUCCUAUGCAUAACAUGUCCAAAAGCGGUAAACAAUGGGUGAAACCAGGCGACCUCGCAAAACAAAAGCAAACUAAUUACGAGAAUAAAAGAAACAAGAAAGUCAAGGCAAAUGAAAAUAGGGUGAAAGCUUUGGGGUUAAAGCAUAUACCAGCUUCUUUAAGCGAUUUCGUUCAUUACGUACCUGUGAAUGGAAAUGGAAAAUGAAUCAGGGCUGAGCCGGAUGAUGACUAUAGUUUAUCUGGUAAUGAGGAUGAUAGUGAUUAUGACUCUGAUGACUCUUUUGAGCAAGAGGUUAUAAGGACGCAAGAGGUACCUGAAAUGCAGCAUGGAACAUCACAUCUUUAGCGAGCCCCUACCAGAAACCAACAUGACAUGAGCUGCAUCACUGAGAGGGAGACCCGGUCAACUACCCAACCCCCACAACCUCUUGAUGCUGAGCAUGAGAUUGAGGCAGUCCCCUUUUAGCACCUGUUGGCAAGCUUUAAACGUUAUUUACUUUUUUCUUUUGACAAUAUAUUUAAGCACUACUUUUGGCACUUUAUUUUUUUGCUCAAACUUGGCACUUACUAUAUUAACAUAGCUUCAUUAUAACAAUAGUUGCUGAUAGACCUAUCUGUGGCCCGGCACGAGGCUUGAUGGUUCAACAAAUAUUCGACAAAGAAGGAAAGCUUCUUGUUCCUAUCCCAUAGUGUUUUCGUGCACCUGUCAGAAAGUGUGCUUGUAAACUUGCCACAAAGAUUGGUGUAGAUGUUCG
Long non-coding RNA from Rhododendron vialii, 953 nucleotides. RefSeq lists it as uncharacterized. The record is from RefSeq and is a predicted model, not a curated record. NCBI's taxonomy places the organism in Eukaryota, Viridiplantae, Streptophyta, Magnoliopsida, Ericales, Ericaceae. The transcript has 3 exons.